CAAGAUGGCGGCCGGCUGGGACGCGCUCAGGCAGUCAAUGCAGCGUCUAUGUAUAUAUGUCUAUGGUUGUACCUGCCUUGAAGAAGUGCUCAGUAAACCGUUGAACUGAAUUCCCUUGUCGUGACAAUUCUUCCCCGCCUCCACUGAUGGUAAAGAGUUUUAAGAUCACGACAACAUUUAACAUGUAAAGUGUCCCAAAGGAACGUUCACAAUGAGGAGGACUCUGAUGAAGGCAAUGAGUUGCAAGACUAUGCCUAUGAAGAGGAUGAAGAGCAGGACAUGCCUCAGCCAGACGAGGACAUCAUGGACAUAGAUAUUGAGGAAGCUCCUGAGCCAGAAGGCAUUGAUGAUGCUGAAAAUGAAAUGGUGGAUCUAUAUCCAUUCAAUUCCUUCACUGAGGCAUCCCUGAGCCUGUUCUUUGAAACCUCUGGCAUUUCAGAGAGCAAUUUUUCUAGCUUACUAGAAAUCCUGUCACACGACAGUUUCAAGAAGGAGGACG
Epinephelus fuscoguttatus (brown-marbled grouper) is the source of this 499-nucleotide long non-coding RNA. RefSeq lists it as uncharacterized. NCBI's taxonomy places the organism in Eukaryota, Metazoa, Chordata, Actinopteri, Perciformes, Serranidae. The transcript is spliced from 3 exons. The record is from RefSeq and is a predicted model, not a curated record.